AUUGAACGCUGGCGGCAGGCCUAACACAUGCAAGUCGAACGGUAACAGGAAGAAGCUUGCUUCUUUGCUGACGAGUGGCGGACGGGUGAGUAAUGUCUGGGAAACUGCCUGAUGGAGGGGGAUAACUACUGGAAACGGUAGCUAAUACCGCAUAACGUCGCAAGACCAAAGAGGGGGACCUUCGGGCCUCUUGCCAUCGGAUGUGCCCAGAUGGGAUUAGCUAGUAGGUGGGGUAACGGCUCACCUAGGCGACGAUCCCUAGCUGGUCUGAGAGGAUGACCAGCCACACUGGAACUGAGACACGGUCCAGACUCCUACGGGAGGCAGCAGUGGGGAAUAUUGCACAGUGGGCGCAAGCCUGAUGCAGCCAUGCCGCGUGUAUGAAGAAGGCCCUCGGGUUGUAAAGUACUUUCAGCGGGGAGGAAGGGAGUAAAGUUAAUACCUUUGCUCAUUGACGUUACCCGCAGAAGAAGCACCGGCUAACUCCGU
This 489-nucleotide ribosomal RNA is filed under the name uncultured bacterium. RNAcentral describes it as "partial 16S ribosomal RNA". It matches the Rfam family "Bacterial small subunit ribosomal RNA", at positions 30 to 506 of the family's 1533-position model. The record is from RNAcentral.